CAGGCAACAGAUCCCUGAAGGACAGCCCGCUCCGAGAAUCGGGGACUUGGCAGCAACUAGCCUGAGAAGGACAGACCGCAGGGGCUGAAACCUCGAGGGAGAAGCUCUCUGCAGCGCUCGGGUCUAGUAGUCAGACAUAAGCAAGCAGGUGAAAGGGCCGAUUAGGGGCCUGGCAUGAAAGAAGGAGAGGCAGCACCAGGGAGCCGAGGCAAGGCUGGUCUGGGAGCCAAAGAGGAGGGACAAGGCACACUCCUGACAAACACCCGCGGGCAAAGCUUUGCUCUACUCAACUUUCCAAGAGGAUCAACGGGUUGGGAUCCCCCCUCACUCUCCUCUCCACUCCUCAAGAAUGAUGAGGUGCCACCUCCACCAUGAAGGAUUCUCUGAUUUCACCAGCCAAAAGAUGCCUCCUCCUCAAGCUGCCCUAGAUUGCUUUUGUUUGGAUUUCUUCUUGACUGUCUACCUUGGGCCCAGUAGUGCUGUUUUGGGCAUCUCUCCUUGUUUCUCCAGCCUAGCCUGAUGCCUCCCACCCCCACCUUCAGAUUUAGUGUCAGUUCUAAGAUAGAAGAGUAGCAAGGGCUAGGCAAUGGGGUAAAGUGACUUGCCCAAGGUCACACCUCUAAGAAAUGUCUGAAGUCAAAUCUGAACCCAGGUCCUCCCUACUCCGGGUCUGGCUCUCUAUCCACAGUGCUAGCUAGCUGUCUCUACAUAUACCUUUCUUCGAUCCAGACUUGAUUUAUUCCUUGGGAGAGUGACCUCCCCAUCCCCCAACACAGCUGCCGGUAAUUUCGGGUCUCAGAAUAGCCCGCAGCCCCUGAGAGGCUAAAUGGUUUUCCCAGGGUCCCACGGUAGACCUAGAAUCCACCACCUGACCCCACUCUCCACUGCCGUCCGACUCCUAGUUUCUUCAUCUCAGCGCUUUGAGAUGAAUUUUACAGAUGAAAAAGCAGCCUGAAAAGGGAGCUAAGGGACAGCUCCUCCCCCCUCCCCGCCGGGCGGUCAGCCACUGGGCCGAAAAUGGGGCUCACUUCUUGG
Molecule: long non-coding RNA, 1035 nt
Filed under: Monodelphis domestica (gray short-tailed opossum)
Lineage: Eukaryota; Metazoa; Chordata; Mammalia; Didelphimorphia; Didelphidae
Description: lncRNA (ENSMODG00000048639.1)
Source: RNAcentral